GGCACACAGCCCUCCCCAGCAUGGGAUCAGCCGACUCUUGCCUCUCCCCGCCGGAAGAGGGCAGUGGGGUGUCUGUUCCCCAGCGCAGGCCAGCUGCUGGCUUUGCUUCUCACUUAGAGCCACGCUGGUCAUCUGCGACCCAGGGGCUUAGCCCACAGGCAGCUGGGGCGCGUGGGCCGGCAGCAGGCAGCAGGACACUUGAAAAUUGUCUCUGGCCAGGGCUAGCUGUCUCCCCAGAGGACACACAGAGGAUAUCUUCCCUCCUGCCUUUGGACGAUUUAGACAUGGCUGGAGAGACCAGGCCGGGCCCCACCCAGCCAGGCCAGAAGAGGCAGCCGGGCACAGCCAUUUCCUGCAGUAACUAUGACCUGGACUACAAGCUGUACAGGGAAGAUGUCCCCUACAGGGUGUAUGAAUACCAAGGAAUCCCUCCACUCCUCAACCGCAUGCCUGUCAAGAUCCGGAGGACCCACGUGGGCAUGGGGGUUAAGAGCAGCUUCAGUCCCCACAAGGGCCCCAGGAAGAGCCACCUGCCCCGAGAGCAAAUAAAGCUCCAGACCAAGGAGCUGCACUCUAUCAGGAGGGAGCUAAACCAGAUCAAAGCCCAGGUGGACCGUCUAUUGGAGAAUCUGGAGCGCAUGGACCAGCAGAGGGACCAGUUUCCAGGUGAAGAAUCAUGCAUCGGACCAGGAGGGCAGUCAGUAGAAGACUGGAAUUCCUCCCGGCUUCUUCCCAGACGGCUCCCUUCCUUGCCUCAUGGGGUUUUUGGAAGGCCUCCUGGUGGCACCUGUGCGACCAAAAGCACACAUUCUGGAAUGAGUACAAUGAAGCGGAGGUGUGGCUCACCACACCAGCUGGGAAGCCCCUCCGUAAUGGUUGCUUUUGCUUUUGGAGGCCAUGUUUCCAGAUAGUCCGGGGAGCUAAGAGGGAGGUCUAGCACAUGCUCACUAUCCUCAUGAGGGAGGCCGUCUGGCAAGGGGCGGAAGAACAGCGCCCCGCCCCCACCUUGGGAGCACAUCUGCCCCCUCUGACUGCAGGCAUUGCUUUGGCUGCUCUUCUCCCUGCCCCAGGCCCUGCCAGUUCUGUGUGGAGUGUCCCGCCCCCGCCGCCAGCCCAGCUUUCUCAGCUCCAGUGAUGCACAGGAAAUAAACUCAUGUUCUACGGACCCCUUCUGGUCUGAAACUGACCUUUAAGCUCCUUGGUGUGUGUCCCACAUGACCUCCUUUGGUUCCAGACUCCCCACCCAUCCACCCUCAUUCAGAAUAGAGUAUCAUUUUUAUGUCCUGUUUCUAUCUUGUCUCUCACUGGUGUGAUACUAUGUACUUCAGACCUGCUCUGGAAAUACUGUAAUGUCAAAGGAGAAAAAUAAAUUUGUAUUUCUUUUCCCUGGUC
This 1392-nucleotide long non-coding RNA is filed under the name Suricata suricatta (meerkat). RNAcentral describes it as "lncRNA (ENSSSUG00005018409.1)". Lineage: Eukaryota; Metazoa; Chordata; Mammalia; Carnivora; Herpestidae. The record is from RNAcentral.